RNAcentral lists this ribosomal RNA (478 nucleotides) under uncultured bacterium. Its description in RNAcentral is "partial 16S ribosomal RNA". It matches the Rfam family "Bacterial small subunit ribosomal RNA", at positions 28 to 523 of the family's 1533-position model. The record is from RNAcentral.
GACGAACGCUGGCGGCGUGCUUAACACAUGCAAGUCGAACGGUAAGGCCCUUCGGGGUACACGAGUGGCGAACGGGUGAGUAACACGUGGGUGAUCUGCCCUGCACUUCGGGAUAAGCCUGGGAAACUGGGUCUAAUACCGGAUAGGACUCCGGACUGCAUGGUCUGGGGUGGAAAGCUUUUGCGGUGUGGGAUGGGCCCGCGGCCUAUCAGCUUGUUGGUGGGGUGAUGGCCAACAAAGGCAGCGACGGGUAGCCGGCCUGAGGGGGUGGCCGGCCACCUUGGGACUGGAAUACGGCCCAGACUCCUACGGGGGGAAGCAGUGGGAAAUAUUGCAAAAUGGGGGAAAGCCUGAUGCAGCGCCGCCGCGUGAGGGAUGACGCCCUUCGGGUUGUAAACCUCUUUCAGCAUCGACGAAGCAAAAGUGACGGUAGGUGCAGAAGAAGGCCCGGCCAACUACGUGCCAGCAGCCGCGGUAA